GUCUAUGGCCAUGCCACCCUGAACAAGCCUAAUGUCUGAUCUCUGAAGCUAAGCAGGGUCAGGCUUGGUUAGUACUUGGAUGGGAGACCACUUAGGAAGACCAGGUACUGCAGGCA
Molecule: ribosomal RNA, 116 nt
Filed under: Pteropus alecto (black flying fox)
Lineage: Eukaryota; Metazoa; Chordata; Mammalia; Chiroptera; Pteropodidae
Also listed under: 1 other name
Source: RNAcentral